UUUUUUUUUUUUUGUUAUGAAAUAUAUAUUAAAACUAUGAAAUAACAAUGAUUGAAGAUUUAAAAUUAGGGUCUAUUAUUUGGCCUAAUUUUGCAUCACCAUUUAGUAUAUCAUGUUAUGUACUUAAUGAAGUUCGAACUAUCUUAGCUAUAGGUUGUUAUGAGGGGAGUAUAGUGUUGUUCAAAGUUUAUGAGCAUGAAAAUUAUCAUAUGGACAUGAAAAAUGACAACACAAAUGUGUUAAGUAGAAACGAUAGAAAUGGUUUCAUCAAAAAAGAAACAGAUGUGUAUGAUAUAAAAAUUAAAGAUGCAGAAAAAAAUAGAAAAUUGUUUAAUGGAAAUAUAAGUGAUAUGUAUUACAACAAUAACAAAGAUAAUGAUAAUGGCUAUAGUAAAGAUGAUAAUUUAAAGUGUAAAAAUUGUAAUAGUAGUAAUAGUAGUAGUAAUAGUAGUAGUAAUAGUAGUAGUAAUAGUAAUAGUAACAGUAAUAGUAAUAGUAGUAGUAGUAGUAGUAGUAGUAGUAGUAAUAGUAAUGGUAAUAACAAAAUAAACUUACUACCAUAUAGUAUUUUAUUAAAUAAUUAUAACAACACUUGUAAUAACAGCAUUGUACAAUUGUGUUUUGGCUUAUCAUGCUCUCCUAUUAUUGAAUGUAUUUCAAAAGAAAUAUUAAUUUCAUUACACCUUGAUAACAUGUUAUAUUUUUGGUCAUUAGAUGAAGGAAGAUGUUUUAAAAUUUUAAAAAAUUUUGAUUUUUUUAUUUAUCAUUUACGAAUAUUACCUGAUAGACGUUUUUUGUUACUAUGCGGACUUACGAAGGUGGUAGUUAUAGAUAUAUGGGGUACCACUGAAAAAGAAAUAAUUUGUAUUUUGUCUAUCGACAAUUAUAUACAUAAGAAAAAUAAUAAUGUAAAAGAAGAUAAUAAAAAUGAAAGUGAUGAAAAAAAUGAGAAUGAAGAAAACACUAAUGAAUGUCAUUACAUUGGUGAUAGUGAUAAUGAACACCAUUCUUCGUGUGUAACAAGUGAUAGUUACAGCAUCAGUAGUAGCAACAGUAGUAGUAGUAGUAGUAGUAGUAGUAACAGCAGUAGUAGUAGUAGUAGUAGUAGUAGUAACAUAAGUAGCAGUAGUAAUAAUGCAAGAUGUGCUAUAGUUAAUAAUAUUCAGAAUGAAUCAGACAAAGUGGAUGCUGAGAAAGCUCUAAAUAUGACACGUAACGAUAAAUGUAAUAAUGAUUCACCUAAUCCAUUAAAAAAAUAUAUUAACAAAGUGAAAAGUAGUUAUGAACAUAUAAAUAAAAAUUACAUGACAAAUAGUAUUAGCAGUAGCUCUAAAAGAGAUGUUAAUAAUAAAUCAAGAACUACAAAAACUUACGAGAAACGUAAUGAAAAGAGUAAUUUAAAUGACUAUAAUAAUAUAAAAACAAAUAAAAAAAUAAAAGUAGAAAACCAUAGUAACUAUAGUAAAGAUAACAUAAAAAUAUGUUGCAUCGCCACAGGACUCGUACCAUAUUUAAAAGAGCAUAAUGAGCAGUCAUUAGUACAAUGUAUAAAGAUAUUAAAAAGAAAAUUGUUUAAUAUAUAUGAAAAAAAAGAAAAUAAUAACAAUACUAACGAUGGUACAAAUUUUGUUAAAUAUAAUAAUAGUGAAGAAAGUGUAUAUACAAAUAAUAUAACAAGUACUACUUCUGUUUGUCCUGGUCCUUCUUCUAACACUAAUAAUACUACUACUACUGCUAUUUCUACCAAAAUGGAACAUAGCGAUAAAUGCAUAAAAACAAAAAAAUCUGAAGUUAUGAAACAAUUAAUUGAUUUUUUUUAUUGCCCGAUAUUAGUAUCUGCUUCUUUGAAUAAUGGGGAUAUUGUUUGCUGGGAUUUAACUGAAUUAUUAAACCAUUAUAAAAAUACUUGCAGAUUUGUAAUAAGAACAGAUAAAACAGAAAUGGAAAUAUACAACGACAUAGUUGAUGAGGUAGCUGAAAAUUGUAUUUAUAAUGAUUUACAUAAGAGCCAAAUGAAUUUAAAUUUUAAUGAUAGUAGUAAAAAUAAACAUUCUGAUAGAACACAGAGUGAUAAAUAUUUAUACAAACAAAUAAAAAACGGAUUAUAUGUUGUGGAUCCAAUAUAUAUAUCUAAUUUAUUACCAUCUACCAAUAUGAUUGAAAUAGCAACAAAUGGAAAUUCAAGUCAAAUAGCUAUUAUAGAUAGUUACAUAAUUAUAUUACAAAAAACAAGGUUAAUUAUAUAUGAAAAAAAAAUAUCAUCUUCUUUUUUUAACCCUUUAAUGGAUUUAUUCUGUCCAGACUUUCAAGAAACAAAUAAAACGAAUGGGAAAAAAUCUUAUUGGGUAGGUAUACAAGUGAUAAGGCGUAAAAAGUGGAAGUUCUUAUCAGGUACGGAAGAAAAUUUACAAAAAA
Molecule: long non-coding RNA, 2415 nt
Filed under: Piliocolobus tephrosceles (Ugandan red Colobus)
Lineage: Eukaryota; Metazoa; Chordata; Mammalia; Primates; Cercopithecidae
Description: lncRNA (ENSPTEG00000017137.1)
Source: RNAcentral